This 1149-nucleotide long non-coding RNA is filed under the name Capra hircus (goat). Its description in RNAcentral is "lncRNA (ENSCHIG00010011590.1)". Lineage: Eukaryota; Metazoa; Chordata; Mammalia; Artiodactyla; Bovidae. The record is from RNAcentral.
AAUCACCAACACUACAUAAAAAGCCAGUGACUUUCAAAGCUACAGUAAGCCACCUAAAUAUAGAUGAGAAAGAACACAAGUAACAGACAAAUGGUCUUACAGGAAAGCAUUUUAAACUUGUGACAGCCACACUCGGCACAUGUGGCUAAAUAUAAACAUUCUAUCACUGUUGCCACCCAGCCAACCUUCUUAGGCAGCUUUCUCCAGCUUGCAAACGCUCCCACAGACAGGUAUUUUGAUACUGGCGCUGUUUCGGGCAAGUCUAAGAGCUAGAGGAGUGAACUACAGCUUCAAAAGUGGUCCAAGUGUCAUCGCUAUCACCUACUACAAAACCCCACCUCCCAACAACCAUCCAGGACAUCCCAAGUUUUAUAAGACAACAGCAAGAAGUCAGAGGAGGAGUGAGAAGGCCAAUAAGCUUUCCCAAGGAUAAAUGCCUCAUCCUUCUAAACACCUGCUCUGGUGGGUAACAAGCCUCGGGCAUAAAAAGCAGGCUGAUUCUUCUCUCCUAUGAACAGGAUGAAAAAGUUUCAUUUAGGCCUUUCAUUUAUGUAUGCAGAGCAUUUUUUAGCCUAUUAUUGGUCCUUAAGGUCAACUGCGGGUCAUCGGUCACAGAAAACCCAGAAUGUUCAUAUAAAAUGAUGUCAGGUUAAAGAUCUCCAUGUCCCUGUCUAAUAAAGAAAAGGUGAUUAGUCAGUGUCUGACAACCUUGAUGGGUCAGGACAUAGGCACACAGGACAAAGUCAGCCAUUCUCUAGAGGGACACCGGGAUGUCCAAGGUACUAGCUCAGAUUAAAGAAAUUCAUCUCCAAGGCUUGUGCAUCAACAGGGAAAACCAGAACAAGACUAACUCAAAUCCAGUCGUUCCCAGCAGGAACACAACUUCUGGUCGCGUGUGCCUCAGUUUCCCUGCGUGCUGGCAGCCUUUCCUAGAGGAAUGCCCGUAAACCCUAGGAGAACGGGGGCCCUCACGUUUCCGUCCCGGCCCUCCCCCGCAUUCAGAGGCGCCCCCUAAACACUUGUGGAGCGGAACCGAGGAAUGAAUGGGCCGAGCGGAGAGUCGCCAGGGGUCACCAGUCCCGAUACUCCGCCCGGCGAGCCUGGGGCUCGGCGAAGUGCCCUCCAUCUGACCGCGCCGCGCCCCCUCGG